GACGAACGCUGGCGGCGUGCUUAACACAUGCAAGUCGAACGGAAAGGCCCUGCUUUUGUGGGGUGCUCGAGUUGCGAACGGGUGAGCAACACGUGAGUAACCUGCCCUUGACUUUGGGAUAACUUCAGGAAACUGGGGCUAAUACCGGAUAGGAGCUCCUGCUGCAUGGUGGGGGUUGGAAAGUUUCGGCGGUUGGGGAUGGACUCGCGGCUUAUCAGCUUGUUGGUGGGGUAGUGGCUUACCAAGGCUUUGACGGGUAGCCGGCCUGAGAGGGUGACCGGCCACAUUGGGACUGAGAUACGGCCCAGACUCCUACGGGAGGCAGCAGUGGGGAAUAUUGCACAAUGGGCGGAAGCCUGAUGCAGCAACGCCGCGUGCGGGAUGACGGCCUUCGGGUUGUAAACCGCUUUCGCCUGUGACGAAGCGUGAGUGACGGUAAUGGGUAAAGAAGCACCGGCUAACUACGUG
RNAcentral lists this ribosomal RNA (468 nucleotides) under uncultured bacterium. Its description in RNAcentral is "partial 16S ribosomal RNA". It matches the Rfam family "Bacterial small subunit ribosomal RNA", at positions 28 to 507 of the family's 1533-position model. The record is from RNAcentral.